Molecule: long non-coding RNA, 1862 nt
Organism: Homo sapiens (human)
Lineage: Eukaryota; Metazoa; Chordata; Mammalia; Primates; Hominidae
Source: Ensembl
GCCGCCAGAUGUGCCUGCCUUUCUGGGCUUUGAUGAGAAAGGGGCAGCAGGAGGAAAUAUUGGGAGACAAAAGCCCCGGUUUAAAUGAUCAUUUUCUUUAUUUAACAUGGCAGCAGACACUCUCUGCGUAGGAUCAUCAUGCCGAGCAUAAACUGGACUUUCCCACUUGCCUGGCAGGAGUCACACAGAUCCCUGCGUGCUAAAUGAACAUCUGAGACCCUUGAAUCCUGACUAUUGGAGAAACAGCACCAUAUUUUGGAUACUGAUUCAGACCAUAUACAGCCUUCUGGAGAAUCUUGCCCCAGUCCUGAAAGGUUUUGGUAUCAGGAUGAUGCUGGCAUCAUAAAAUGAGUAUUUUUCUUCAGACUUCAGACUGCUGUGCUGGAAGCAAGAAUUUCAAGCAUUGGAUCUUAGCUUGCUGGGCUCCAUAGGGGUGGGAUCCACUGAGCUAGACCACUUGGCUCCCUGGCUUCAGCCCCCUUCCAGAUGUCCUUGGCGUGUACACCCUGUGGAAUCUGGUUCAUCUUCAAUCUGUCAGAAGGCAUCAGAGGUGGUUUUGACUCCUUAUGUCUUGGACCUGUGCACAAAAAGUGUAAAAUGGAUGGAACAUCAGACAGCUCAUUAUAGAGACAAGUAAGCUCCAGUUCCAAAGUUGGUUGACAGAACAAGUCAUGACCUUGUGUGGAGGAAAAUGAGAUCCCGAGUGAAGUCUACAAUGUCAUUGACUCUGAAGAAGGACUCAGAGACCCAUUGGUGUUUAAUGACCCUUACUGGCCUAUGCAAUGGAAACUGAUCUUGAGUGUGCCUUAAAAUUCCAUUUCAUGGAGAACUGUGCGUGGUUGAAUUUUGAUUGAUUACUCAAUUAACUGAUGUAUUGGUAGAGUGAUUAAGAAAGAAGACUUUGGGAUCAGACCAACCUGGUUUUGAAUUCAAGCUCAGCAACUUACUAGGUAAGGAGGAGAAAAGAAAGAAGGAAAAAUUGGAAAGAUAAAUGGGGUCUUUCCAGUGAAGCCUCCAGGCCUCCAGACUGGAACUUAUACCACUGAUUCUUCUGAAUCUUAGGCCUUUGGACUUGGACUGGAACUAAACCAUCAGCUCUUCUUGUUCUACCACUUGCAGACUGUAUGUCUUGGGACAUGUCAGCCUCUGUAAUCACGCUCAAUUUUCCUACAUAAUUAAGAGUUUGGAAUUCGGGCAAUAUCAAGAACCACAUCUGUCCUGAAAUCAAUUAUCUCUGUUUGAUACAGAAUCUGAGGAGGGUGGCUCUGUUAUUCUGAUGGAAUGAAUGCUCAGUGAGAUCAAAAUCAAGUCAUUGAGGAUGCCAGGAGAGUCUGGGGCAUCCUCAGGUACCCUGCAGGGUUUGUGGGGAGGCUGCUGGACUUACAGAUUGUUGUGGAUUUCAUCCUGGAUGGUUUACUGAGCUCUUUGGGGUUCCUGAGGUGAAAAUUACAGCAAUUUUAAGAGUCUGACACACUUUCCAGCUGAUAGCACUAAAAACAUGACUUGUAGCCUCCUCUCUUUUUCCUGUUUGCUUCUCUGAAUGAAGAUGGCAGAACUAAUCUGUAUGAACUAUUAUCUGUUAUGUGAAUUUUUAUGAAUUAAACUAAUUUAUCUUUAAAAAUCCAUUUUUUUCUCUAUGAGCAACUUAUGCAAUGGAAUGGACCUACUAUAUUUGUCAAAGUUAUUAGAGUCCCGGGUUUUUAAUUACUAGUUUGAACCCCACAGCUCUUCUGGUAAAAUGUGGACUGCAUACUGAAGGGAAAACAAAAUAACAGAUUAUGCAAUAUACAAAUAGAAUUACCAGUGACUUAUUCUCCUUUAAGUCAACAUUUAAUGCAAUGGUUUUUGCUCUGGAUCUCAUA